This 1307-nucleotide ribosomal RNA is filed under the name Lactobacillus gasseri. Its description in RNAcentral is "bacterial SSU rRNA". It matches the Rfam family "Bacterial small subunit ribosomal RNA", at positions 100 to 1395 of the family's 1533-position model. Lineage: Bacteria; Bacillati; Bacillota; Bacilli; Lactobacillales; Lactobacillaceae. The record is from RNAcentral.
GGACGGGUGAGUAACACGUGGGUAACCUGCCCAAGAGACUGGGAUAACACCUGGAAACAGAUGCUAAUACCGGAUAACAACACUAGACGCAUGUCUAGAGUUUAAAAGAUGGUUCUGCUAUCACUCUUGGAUGGACCUGCGGUGCAUUAGCUAGUUGGUAAGGUAACGGCUUACCAAGGCAAUGAUGCAUAGCCGAGUUGAGAGACUGAUCGGCCACAUUGGGACUGAGACACGGCCCAAACUCCUACGGGAGGCAGCAGUAGGGAAUCUUCCACAAUGGACGCAAGUCUGAUGGAGCAACGCCGCGUGAGUGAAGAAGGGUUUCGGCUCGUAAAGCUCUGUUGGUAGUGAAGAAAGAUAGAGGUAGUAACUGGCCUUUAUUUGACGGUAAUUACUUAGAAAGUCACGGCUAACUACGUGCCAGCAGCCGCGGUAAUACGUAGGUGGCAAGCGUUGUCCGGAUUUAUUGGGCGUAAAGCGAGUGCAGGCGGUUCAAUAAGUCUGAUGUGAAAGCCUUCGGCUCAACCGGAGAAUUGCAUCAGAAACUGUUGAACUUGAGUGCAGAAGAGGAGAGUGGAACUCCAUGUGUAGCGGUGGAAUGCGUAGAUAUAUGGAAGAACACCAGUGGCGAAGGCGGCUCUCUGGUCUGCAACUGACGCUGAGGCUCGAAAGCAUGGGUAGCGAACAGGAUUAGAUACCCUGGUAGUCCAUGCCGUAAACGAUGAGUGCUAAGUGUUGGGAGGUUUCCGCCUCUCAGUGCUGCAGCUAACGCAUUAAGCACUCCGCCUGGGGAGUACGACCGCAAGGUUGAAACUCAAAGGAAUUGACGGGGGCCCGCACAAGCGGUGGAGCAUGUGGUUUAAUUCGAAGCAACGCGAAGAACCUUACCAGGUCUUGACAUCCAGUGCAAACCUAAGAGAUUAGGAGUUCCCUUCGGGGACGCUGAGACAGGUGGUGCAUGGCUGUCGUCAGCUCGUGUCGUGAGAUGUUGGGUUAAGUCCCGCAACGAGCGCAACCCUUGUCAUUAGUUGCCAUCAUUAAGUUGGGCACUCUAAUGAGACUGCCGGUGACAAACCGGAGGAAGGUGGGGAUGACGUCAAGUCAUCAUGCCCCUUAUGACCUGGGCUACACACGUGCUACAAUGGACGGUACAACGAGAAGCGAACCUGCGAAGGCAAGCGGAUCUCUGAAAGCCGUUCUCAGUUCGGACUGUAGGCUGCAACUCGCCUACACGAAGCUGGAAUCGCUAGUAAUCGCGGAUCAGCACGCCGCGGUGAAUACGUUCCCGGGCCUUGUACACACCGCCC